This 466-nucleotide ribosomal RNA is filed under the name uncultured bacterium. Its description in RNAcentral is "partial 16S ribosomal RNA". It matches the Rfam family "Bacterial small subunit ribosomal RNA", at positions 29 to 506 of the family's 1533-position model. The record is from RNAcentral.
ACGAACGCUGGCGGCGUGCUUAACACAUGCAAGUCGAACGGAAAGGCCCUGCUUUUGUGGGGUGCUCGAGUGGCGAACGGGUGAGUAACACGUGAGUAACCUGCCCUUGGCUUUGGGAUAACUUCAGGAAACUGGGGCUAAUACCGGAUAGGAGCUCCUGCUGCAUGGUGGGGGUUGGAAAGUUUCGGCGGUUGGGGAUGGACUCGCGGCUUAUCAGCUUGUUGGUGGGGUAGUGGCUUACCAAGGCUUUGACGGGUAGCCGGCCUGAGAGGGUGACCGGCCACAUUGGGACUGAGAUACGGCCCAGACUCCUACGGGAGGCAACAGUGGGGAAUAUUGCACAAUGGGCGGAAGCCUGAUGCAGCAACGCCGCGUGCGGGAUGACGGCCUUCGGGUUGUAAACCGCUUUCGCCUGUGACGAAGCGUGAGUGACGGUAAUGGGUAAAGAAGCACCGGCUAACUACGU